CCUACGGGUGGCAGCAGUGGGGAAUAUUGCACAAUGGGGGAAACCCUGAUGCAGCGACGCCGCGUGAGUGAAGAAGGCUUUCGGGAUGUAAAGCUCUAUCAGCAGGGAAGAAACUGACGAUACCUGAUUACGAAGCCCCAGCUAACUACGUGCCAGCAGCCGCGGUAAUACGUAGGGGGCAAGCGUUAUCCGGCUGUACUGGGUGUUAAGGGAGCGUAGUCGGCAGAACAAGUCUGGAGUGAAAAGCCGGGGCUUAACCCCGGAACUGCUUUGGAAACUGUGCAGCUAGAGUUCAGGAGAGGUAAGUGGAAUUCCUAGUGUAGCGGUGAAAUGCGUAGAUAUUAGGAGGAACACCAGUGGCGAAGGCGGCUUACUGGACUGUAACUGACGUUGAGGCACGAAAGCGUGGGGAGCAAACAGGAUUAGAUACCCGAGUAGUC
RNAcentral lists this ribosomal RNA (440 nucleotides) under uncultured bacterium. RNAcentral describes it as "partial 16S ribosomal RNA". It matches the Rfam family "Bacterial small subunit ribosomal RNA", at positions 338 to 795 of the family's 1533-position model. The record is from RNAcentral.